GUCCGCGGUGCUGAAACCGCUCAGCUCAGUCUGAGAGCUGCUGACAGCUCUUCGCAUUCUCUGCCUCUCCACCGUCCACUAUUACAAACCUCAUCCGCGCUCCUGUACCGCGCGGCGCGUGCAGCGGAGGUCUAGCGACUCGUUCGUGUCCUGCUCCUCUUUAAUUAUUCGGAAAGUGUUUUAAUACAAGGACAUAUUCAGUGAAGAGAAGCCCGUUGCCGUAACGAUGAACUGGGCAAGAAAUUACAAACCAAACGUGAUCGUCCUGUUUCUGGCUGUGUUUGCCGGUGUGGUGAACGCACGAGGGCAAGGUUCUUUUAUGAAUGGGAGAUUAGCAGUCACCCAAAGAGGAGGUCAGCCGGAAGGAGAAGACGGGUCAUAUCACACUACACAGGACCCUAAGAGAGAACUGCCCCUGUUCACCACAGCUCCGCCCUUCAGUAGCCUCGACCACCACCCUCCUUUCAAGCCCUUCCUGCCUUACGACCCACGGCCUCAAAACCAUGAGGAGUACUUUCACGACAGUGGCGGGGCGUCUCACCAUCCCACAAUGCCGUCCUCUAGAUCCCAUCAUCUACGAGAUGCCUCCACCCAAUCGGUCCCACAUGAGGAUGCUCCGCCAUUCUCUGAUGUAGCGGCUUCCAGACCCACUACGUCGGCUCCAUCCUCUGCUGCCGUCACACAGCCAUACAUGUCUAACGUCCGGCAUGAACCCUUGGCAGAAACACAAAGAAGAGUCUCAGAGGAUCCUCACGUGACCAUGACAAUAGGAUCACUGACCACCACAUAUGCGCGCACAUCUGCAGCCCCCUCUUCUUCCAGUGACAAACAUUUAGAUGCAGGUGUCACUGUGUCCUCCAAUGUCAGGGCCAGAGAUGCAAGUUUCCAUGUGAAAACAAGCAAAGAAAAGUUGACACAGAUUAAGGGGGAACACGAUGCUAUAGGAAGUGAUGUCACUGGGACUGCAUCUUCUUUGUCUGUGGAUUUGGAUGAUGAGACCACCACCUCCACCAUCAUCACAACAACGGUUAUAACGAACAUGCAAAUGCCAGCUCCAUGCAGCACCAAUUUCACAGCACCGGGGGGUUACAUAGAGACACCACAGCACGCCAGGAGCGGGUACAAUACAAAUGUGGACUGCACGUACACCGUGACCGUCUACAUGGGCUAUGGGGUGGAAAUCCAGAUGAUGAACGUGAGCCUGGUUGAAGGAGACAUGGUCCGAUUCGAAGACCUGGGUGGUCGGGAGCCUUCUGUGCUGGCUAAUGAGUCCAUCUUGCUGAAAGGUCUGGUGGUACGCAGCUGGAGCAACCAAAUCUCCAUCCAAUACCGAAGCCAGCAACCUCAAUCCAGCUUCUUACUGCUGCGUUACCAAGCGUUUGUGUUGAGUUGUAACUUUCCUGACAGACCGGCAUACGGGGAUGUUUCUGUGACCAGCCUGCAUGCAGGGGGCGAGGCUUACUUCUACUGCUUUAAUGGAUACCAAAUCCAGGGUCCCUCCACCCUGACGUGCCGCAACGCUACCACGCCCUACUGGAACGGAAAGGUGCCCAGCUGUCUAGUGUCUUGCGGUGGAAUGCUGAAGAACGCAACACUCGGUCGCAUCAUGUCCCCUGGUUUCCCCGGCAACUACAGCAACAACCUAACCUGCCACUGGGUGCUGCAGGCCCCCGAGGACCAACGGCUUCACGUGCACUUUGAGAAAGUGGCUCUCGCCGAAGACGAUGACAGGUUCCUCAUAAAAGAUGGGAACCACAUCGACUCGACUAUCCUGUAUGACUCGUAUGAGGUGGAAUACCUCCCGAAUGAGGGUAUCGUCGGCUCCUCCAGGCAUCUCUUUGUGGAGUUUUCAACGGAUGGCUUUGGCACAAACACAGGGGUAGCCAUCAGAUAUGAAGCUUUUGCGGCAGGGCACUGCUACGAGCCUUUCGUCAAGUACGGCAACUUCACCACCACUGACAGCGCGUACGCUCUGGGCGUGGUUGUGGAGUUCACCUGUGACCCGGGCUACACCCUGGAGCAGGGCUCCGUCAUUAUCGAGUGCAUGGAUCCCGGAAACCCGCAAUGGAAUGAGACUGAGCCCGCCUGCAGAGCUGUAUGCAGUGGAGAGAUCACAGAUUCAGCAGGUGUGGUGUUGUCCCCAAACUGGCCUGAGGCCUAUGACAAGGGCCAGGACUGCAUCUGGGGGAUCCACGUCGAAGAGGACAAGAGGAUCAUGCUAGACAUCCAAGUUCUCCAUUUGGGCAAGAAUGACAUGCUGACCUUCUAUGAUGGUGAUGACCUGACAGCAAAGGUACUGGGCCAGUACGGUGGCUCCCGUCCUCGAUUCAAACUCUACACUUCUAUGGCUGAUGUCACCAUCCAGUUCCAGUCAGACCCUGCCACCAACAUCUACGGCUACAACAACGGAUUUGUGGUGCACUUUUUCGAGGUUCCCCGCAAUGACACGUGUCCAGAGCUUCCAGAGAUCUCUAACGGCUGGAAGACAACAUCUCACCCUGACCUGGUGCACGGCACGGUGGUGACCUAUCAAUGUUACCCGGGCUUCGAAUUGGUGGGCACCGAAAUGCUCAUGUGUCAGUGGGACCUGACCUGGAGUGGAGAUCUGCCCAGCUGUGAAAGAGUUCUGUCAUGCCCAGACCCGGGCACAGUGGAGCACAGUCGCAGGGUGAUGUCAGGGCCACGUCUCAUCGUGGGCUCUACCGUGCAGUUCAUCUGUAACAAAGGCUACUCGCUGUCGGGCAACAGCCUCCUGUCCUGCUAUCACCGAGACUCCACAGGACCAAAGUGGAGCGAGAAACUGCCCAAAUGCAUGUCUGAUUCGUAUGAGCCAUGUAGGAACCCUGGGACUCCCGCCUACAGCAUCCAGAGCUCAGAAAAACACAUGUAUCAGGCAGGAGAAACUGUGCGAUUUUCCUGUCUGAAUGGAUAUCAGCUCCAAGGUGAGCCUGUUCUCCGUUGUGUCCCCGGGCACCCGUCCAAAUGGAGCCAUCCACCCCCGCUGUGCAAAGCUCUCCCUUUUCUCCCAGCUGGAAGAUUGGAAUAUAUAGAUGAGCGCAGGUUAGAUGCUGCAAGUGCAGACUUCAGUAUUGAGGGAGCAAGUGUGGCUGUUUCCAUUUUCAUCCCAGUGGCCAUAAUUCUUAUCAUCAUAAUGUCAAUAUAUUUCUACUUUUCAAGGGUGCAGGGGAAAUCUCUACGCUUAUCCCUGACAGCAUCACCACAAUACGACCACAUCAGAGGAGAGUCAGCUUUUGAAAACCCCACUUACGACACUGCAAACAACGAGAGACCUAUGAUUCAAACCAGCCACCAGAAGUACUCUCUAGGAUUCUGUUGUAAAGAAAAAACCUGUAAGGAGAGUUGAUAAUGGAAUAGCAUCUCACAUGGACGCCGCCGAGAAGGUUUGAAACAUCGGAUACAAGAGAAUACGAAGUGUCCAUUUAAAAGAAACAAAGCUCAUUUCGCAUGGAGGACCGCAAGCCUUUCUCUGCCUUGUGGAAGAAUUCCUCUCACAUCUUGUGUAGCCACCUCUGCUCUUAAUCUUCUUACCUUCUCAUCCUUUCCCAUCUGCUGUAAAUACCGUCUUGCUUCUGAGGACAUCCACAAGCGAAGAGUGUGGAUGACGUGAUAUUAUUUUUGUAGAGCUUCAACAGCCAUGGCCUAACAGAAUUGCUUGUACAGUUUUUACUCGUAUCUGAGCCAAAUUCAGU
This is an RNA transcript of Triplophysa rosa, 3710 nucleotides long. It is a transcript of the gene named seizure related 6 homolog b, with no coding region annotated. NCBI's taxonomy places the organism in Eukaryota, Metazoa, Chordata, Actinopteri, Cypriniformes, Nemacheilidae. The record is from RefSeq and is a predicted model, not a curated record. The transcript has 19 exons.